RNAcentral lists this ribosomal RNA (429 nucleotides) under Bacteroidota bacterium. Its description in RNAcentral is "Bacteroidetes bacterium partial 16S ribosomal RNA". It matches the Rfam family "Bacterial small subunit ribosomal RNA", at positions 355 to 776 of the family's 1533-position model. Lineage: Bacteria; Pseudomonadati; Bacteroidota. The record is from RNAcentral.
UAGGGAAUCUUCGGCAAUGGGGGGAACCCUGACCGAGCAACGCCGCGUGAGUGAAGAAGGUUUUCGGAUCGUAAAGCUCUGUUGUUAAGGAAGAACGAGUGUGAGAAUGGAAAGUUCAUACUGUGACGGUACUUAACCAGAAAGGGACGGCUAACUACGUGCCAGCAGCCGCGGUAAUACGUAGGUCCCGAGCGUUGUCCGGAUUUAUUGGGCGUAAAGCGAGCGCAGGCGGUUAGAUAAGUCUGAAGUUAACGGCAGUGGCUCAACCAUUGUAGGCUUUGGAAACUGUAUAACUUGAGUGCAGAAGGGGAGAGGGGAAUUCCAUGUGUAGCGGUGAAAUGCGUAGAUAUAUGGAGGAACACCGGUGGCGAAAGCGGCUCUCUGGUAUGUAACUGACGCUGAGGCUCGAAAGCGUGGGGAGCGAACAGG